CCUACGGGUGGCAGCAGUGGGGAAUAUUGCGCAAUGGGCGAAAGCCUGACGCAGCGACGCAGCGUGAGGGAUGAAGGUCUUCGGAUCGUAAACCUCUGUUAGCAGGGAAGAACGGUCACUGUGCUAAUCAGCAGUGAAUUGACGGUACCCACAGAGGAAGCACCGGCUAACUCCGUGCCAGCAGCCGCGGUAAUACGGGGGGUGCAAGCGUUGUCCGGAAUCAUUGGGCGUAAAGAGUUCGUAGGUGGCACGUUAAGUCUGGUGUUAAAGGGGGAAGCUCAACUUCCGUAGGGCACUGGAUACUGGCGGGCUUGAGUGCGGUAGAGGUGAGGGGAAUUCCUGGUGUAGCGGUGAAAUGCGUAGAUAUCAGGAGGAACAUCGGUGGCGUAGGCGCUUUACUGGGCCGUAAUUGACACUGAGGAACGAAAGCCGGGGUAGCAAAUAGGAUUAGAUACCCCUGUAGUC
This 465-nucleotide ribosomal RNA is filed under the name uncultured bacterium. RNAcentral's name for it is "partial 16S ribosomal RNA". It matches the Rfam family "Bacterial small subunit ribosomal RNA", at positions 338 to 795 of the family's 1533-position model. The record is from RNAcentral.